This 399-nucleotide ribosomal RNA is filed under the name uncultured bacterium. RNAcentral's name for it is "bacterial SSU rRNA". It matches the Rfam family "Bacterial small subunit ribosomal RNA", at positions 356 to 773 of the family's 1533-position model. The record is from RNAcentral.
GGGGAAUAUUGCACAAUGGGGGAAACCCUGAUGCAGCAACGCCGCGUGAAGGAAGAAGGCCUUUGGGUCGUAAACUCCUGUUCUAAGGGAAGAUAAUGACGGUACCUUAGGAGCAAGUCCCGGCUAACUACGUGCCAGCAGCCGCGGUAAUACGUAGGGGGCAAGCGUUAUCCGGAAUUAUUGGGCGUAAAGAGUACGUAGGUGGUUACCUAAGCACGAGGUAUAAGGCAAUGGCUUAACCAUUGUUCGCCUUGUGAACUGGGCUACUUGAGUGCAGGAGAGGAAAGCGGAAUUCCUAGUGUAGCGGUGAAAUGCGUAGAUAUUAGGAGGAACACCAGUGGCGAAGGCGGCUUUCUGGACUGUAACUGACACUGAGGUACGAAAGCGUGGGGAGCAAAC